UACAGAGGGUGCAAGCGUUAAUCGGAAUUACUGGGCGUAAAGCGUGCGUAGACGGUUACAUAAGUCGGGUGUGAAAGCCCCGGGCUCAACCUGGGAAUUGCAUUCGAGACUGCGUAGCUAGGGUGCGGAAGAGGGAAGCGGAAUUUCCGGUGUAGCGGUGAAAUGCGUAGAUAUCGGAAGGAACACCAGUGGCGAAGGCGGUGGUCUGGGCCGGAACUGACGCUGAGGAGCGAAAGCGUGGGUAGCAAACAGG
RNAcentral lists this ribosomal RNA (253 nucleotides) under uncultured bacterium. RNAcentral describes it as "partial 16S ribosomal RNA". It matches the Rfam family "Bacterial small subunit ribosomal RNA", at positions 524 to 776 of the family's 1533-position model. The record is from RNAcentral.